This 200-nucleotide ribosomal RNA is filed under the name Staphylococcus haemolyticus. RNAcentral's name for it is "partial 16S ribosomal RNA". It matches the Rfam family "Bacterial small subunit ribosomal RNA", at positions 327 to 523 of the family's 1533-position model. The record is from RNAcentral. Lineage: Bacteria; Bacillati; Bacillota; Bacilli; Caryophanales; Staphylococcaceae.
CGGCCCAGACUCCUACGGGAGGCAGCAGUAGGGAAUCUUCCGCAAUGGGCGAAAGCCUGACGGAGCAACGCCGCGUGAGUGAUGAAGUCUUCGGAUCGUAAAACUCUGUUAUAGGGAAGACAUACGUGUAAGUAACUAUGCACGUCUUGACGGUACCUAAUCAGAAAGCCACGGCUAACUCGUGCCAGCAGCCGCGGUAA